RNAcentral lists this long non-coding RNA (813 nucleotides) under Nicotiana benthamiana. Its description in RNAcentral is "long non-coding RNA (NBEN_LNC015295)". Lineage: Eukaryota; Viridiplantae; Streptophyta; Magnoliopsida; Solanales; Solanaceae. The record is from RNAcentral.
UGACACAUGAUAAACAGUUACUUUUUAACAUAACACCUUUAACUCUACCAUAUCUUGUCACUCUUCCUAAUGGCUAUAAAGUGAAAGUGACAUGCACAAGCUCUUUUGCAUUGACUCCUUCCAUCACUCUUCACAAUGUACUGUUGGUUCCUUCUUUUAAACAGAACUUGAUUUAUGUCCACAAGUUAGUGAAGCAGUUGCAUUGUAUAGUUAUGUUCACUGAACAUUCCUGCUUGCUACACAUGAUACAGGACCCUUCUCUAAGGAGGCCUCUGGAUCUUGGUAGAGAAGCUGCUGGCUUAUAUAAAUUGGCUUGGGUUCCUCCUUCCUCUUCUUCCUCUGUUAGUUGUUCUUCUACUUCUGUUUGUCCUGUAUCUGCUUCUUGUGAUGAAAGCAAAGUUGUUGCAUUGCCUUCUGUGUCUGUUUCUUGUAAUGAUGACAUCUUGUCUGAUAACAAGGGUGUUCCAUUGCCUUCUCAUGUGAAUAAUUCCAUCUGUAAUAAUGAUUUUACAUCUGAUAUGAAUUACAUUUGGCACUUAAGGCUUGCACAUACUCCUUUCUGUAAUAAUGAUCUUACAUCUGACAUGAAUUACAUUUGGCACUUAAGACUUGCUCAUACUUCUUUUGCAAAUAUGAAAUGCAUUUCUGGUCUGUCUUUUCCAUUUUCUUCCAAACAACCUUUUCCAUGUUCAGUCUGUCCUAUGGCCAGACAAACUAGGCUUCCAUUUCCUGAUAGUUCCAUUAAGACUUCUAGACCCUUUCAACUGAUUCAUGUGGACACUUGGGGACCUUAUCAUACUCCAACCUCUNNNN